This 217-nucleotide non-coding RNA is filed under the name chicken gut metagenome. The record is from RNAcentral.
AAUCUUACCUAGAAAGUGGUACCCGCCACAUCUAGUAGCGAGUCUUGGGCUUUACUUGGUAACAAGUAAAGUUAAGCGUAGACAGUCAGGUAUCAGGGUUAGUAUUGAGUUUCGAAAGUUAUCUUACAAAUCAAGUUGGUAGACGCUUUCGUCCAAGCGGAAUACAACAUUUGAUAGUACGAAAUGGGAAGUAUUAUCAAACACUUGCGGAAUCUAA